AGAGUUUGAUCCUGGCUCAGAAUGAACGCUGGCGGCGUGCUUAACACAUGCAAGUCGAACGAGAAAGGGACUGCUUGCAGUCCCAAGUAGAGUGGCGCACGGGUGAGUAACACGUGGAUAAUCUACCUUCAAAUUCGGGAUAACUAUUCGAAAGAAUAGCUAAUACCGGAUAAAGUCCUUUUGACUUUGGUUGAAAGGAUGAAAGACAGCCUCUGCAUAUGCUGUUGUUUGGAGAUGAGUCCGCACACCAUUAGCUAGUUGGUGGGGUAAAGGCCUACCAAGGCGACNAUGGUUAGCUGGUCUGAGAGGAUGAUCAGCCACACUGGAACUGACACACGGUCCAGACUCCUACGGGAGGCAGCA
Molecule: ribosomal RNA, 363 nt
Filed under: uncultured bacterium
Lineage: Bacteria
Description: bacterial SSU rRNA
Rfam family: Bacterial small subunit ribosomal RNA
Source: RNAcentral